RNAcentral lists this long non-coding RNA (1408 nucleotides) under Marmota monax (woodchuck). Lineage: Eukaryota; Metazoa; Chordata; Mammalia; Rodentia; Sciuridae. The record is from RNAcentral.
UUCUGACACACUUCCUUAGAUGUUAUCUAAGCCCUUGUGCACAAAGUGGGGCCUAGAACCAGCAGUGUUGCCUCACCUGGGAGCUUUUGGGAAUGCAGAAAUGUGUCCUCAUUCCACCAAUUAAAUCAGAGUCUACAUUUUAAUAACAUCUCCAGGAAUUUGUAUGGUCAUUGUAGUUAGAGAAGUACUCUGGGUCUUAUAAUCAUUAGAUUUAGUUUCACCUAGAGUGGGUGGGUAUGCAAAACAGGACAUUUUCUUGCUUUUGACAUGAAUUUUCAAUUUUAUUUCUAAAUAGCAUUUCUGCCAGCCAGUUAGCGGACAAGGUAGAGGAGGCAGUUCUGGAACGUUUGAAACCCCUCUUGGUCAAGGCCCAGGUAAUCUAGUUCAUCUCCUCUGCUUGUCUUUGGAAGUUCUAGAAUAAAAAGAGUUGCCACAGAGGUCGUACUGACCCUUUGUUGGGUCAAGUGUCUCUUUAGCCUGAAGCUGCAUUGCACAGCACAGCCCUCUCUAGACACCUGCAGACCACUGCACACUAUAUUGGUAUGUCCUGUGUUACGGGGAAGGGAAACAGAUGGGGGAAGAAAGGAAAGACUUGCUUUUGGGAGAAGUGAGAUUUUAAUUUGGGGAACAAGCUUUGAUUGCAGUUUCCAUUCCUAACCCCGAAAAUUUAUUUAGUUUCCUGCUUCCACUCUAAUGCUGUCCUCUCUCACCACAGCGAUUUGGAAUGCUUGGCUUUAGGAGAGGGAGAGUAUGACACUUCUCUGCACAAACCAGUACUUUCCUGAAGAUGAAAUAAUAUGUAGCACCACCAAGAGGUUGUGCCAUCCUCCCCUAAACAGUGAGCUAAAUUCUACAGGUCCUGUAGACUCACUGUACAAAUAGAAGCCAUCAUGUUUGGAUGAAUAGAUGAAGCUUAAAUAGGAUGAAUACCAUCUGGGUCCCUGCACAGACCACUAAACUUCUGUGUUUUUAAGUUAAGGAAUGUUGAAUUAUUAUUCAAGUCCAUGGAAACUUCAGGAGUAGUGAACUAAUGGGCUCUUGGUGAUCGAAUCAUCUAGCCUUCUCAUUUUAUCAUUGAGGAAACUGUGGAACAUAGAAGUUGAAUGAUUUGCAUAAAAGGACACAUCUACUGUGGCAGUAUUUACAAAGAUGAGGGAGGAAAAAGCAUGGUGAGCCAAGAGCAACACAUGGCAUUUAUUUUCAUGAAGACAAAGUACUUUAAUUGCUGCAAAAAACCUAGUACUGCUACAGCUGAAGUUAUUCUGGUAACAGCAUCCAUUUGUACUAAUAUGAGUUGUAAGUUUUUAUAAUCCAUGAAUGUAUUUGUCUGUUUUAAUAGAGAGUUAAUUCUUCUACGGAAGCAAAUACUCAUUUGAAGGAUCAUCCAUCAUUUAACACAGCAGCAGCC